UUUUCCCAGUUUGUGUUUUAAGUGAACUGCACUAAAAACCUGAAGCAAACUGUACUCACACCACUUCCUGAGGUAGUCAGUGUGUUUGGACUUUGUGGCUUUCUUGUAAAAUUCAACUGAAUUGAUAUCAAACACCCUGGAAAGAAGCAAUUCUGUGUUUACCCACUGUAUGUAUGGUGCAGCAUAUUACAGAUGUAUGUAUUUGUAAAUGUUCUGUGUCAUUCUGUGUUUUUAAAGUACUAUAUCUUAAUUUCUGCAGCUAGAUGAAAUGGAUUCCAGAGUUGUCAGGCUUAAGCCUGUACGUGAUGCUGAGUGCCACAUAAAAUCAAGAACUGAAAGCCAUACCUUAAGCAGCGCUUCAUGAACAAGUUCAAAGAUGAAGCAGAUGCCGUUAUUGAGAUGUCAAGACCCUGUUUGCCAGAAGCAAGUUCAGAACAGGUGAUUCAAUCAUUGUGUGAGCAAAUCGAAAGAUGCGACUUUUCAUGUUGGAGCUAUAAUAGAAGAUGCUGUGACUGAGAUGUCAAGACCCUGUUUGCCAGAAGCAAGUUCAGAACAGGUA
Long non-coding RNA from Labeo rohita (rohu), 559 nucleotides. RefSeq lists it as uncharacterized. The record is from RefSeq and is a predicted model, not a curated record. Lineage: Eukaryota; Metazoa; Chordata; Actinopteri; Cypriniformes; Cyprinidae. The transcript is spliced from 4 exons.